Molecule: ribosomal RNA, 253 nt
Filed under: uncultured bacterium
Lineage: Bacteria
Description: partial 16S ribosomal RNA
Rfam family: Bacterial small subunit ribosomal RNA
Source: RNAcentral
UACGUAGGGGGCAAGCGUUGUCCGGAUUUAUUGGGCGUAAAGAGCGUGUAGGCGGCCUGGUAGGUCUGCUGUGAAAACUCGAGGCUCAACCUCGAGACGUCGGCGGAAACCAUCUGGCUAGAGUCCGGAAGAGGAGAGUGGAAUUCCUGGUGUAGCGGUGAAAUGCGCAGAUAUCAGGAAGAACACCCGUGGCGAAGGCGGCUCUCUGGGACGGUACUGACGCUGAGACGCGAAAGCGUGGGGAGCGAACAGG